Molecule: ribosomal RNA, 482 nt
Filed under: uncultured bacterium
Lineage: Bacteria
Description: partial 16S ribosomal RNA
Rfam family: Bacterial small subunit ribosomal RNA
Source: RNAcentral
AUUGAACGCUGGCGGCAUGCCUUACACAUGCAAGUCGAACGGUAACGGGCCUUCGGGUGCCGACGAGUGGCGAACGGGUGCGUAAUACAUCGGAACGUGCCCGAUCGUGGGGGAUAACGAGGCGAAAGCUUUGCUAAUACCGCAUACGAUCUACGGAUGAAAGCAGGGGACCGCAAGGCCUUGCGCGGACGGAGCGGCCGAUGGCAGAUUAGGUAGUUGGUGGGAUAAAAGCUUACCAAGCCGACGAUCUGUAGCUGGUCUGAGAGGAUGAUCAGCCACACUGGGACUGAGACACGGCCCAGACUCCUACGGGAGGCAGCAGUGGGGAAUUUUGGACAACGGGCGCAAGCCUGAUCCAGCCAUGCCGCGUGCAGGAUGAAGGCCUUCGGGUUGUAAACUGCUUUUGUACGGAACGAAAAGCCUUCUUUUAAUACAGGAGGGUCAUGACGGUACCGGAAGAAUAAGCACCGGCUAACUACGUG